CCUCCCCUGAUGUCAGUGUGACAGACCCCACAGACCCACCAUCCUCCCAUGGUGUCAGUGUGACAGGUACAACAGGCCCGUUAUCCUCCCCUGGUGUUGGUGUGACAGACCCCACAGACCCGUUAUCCUCCCCUGGUGUCGGUGUGACAGACCCCACAGACCCCGUUAUCCUCCCCUGGUGUCAGUGUGACAGACCCCACAGACCCAACAUCCUCCCCUGGUGUCAGUGUGACAGACCCCACAGACCCACCAUCCUCCCCUGGUGUCAGUGUGACAGGUACAACAGACCCGUUAUCCUCCCCUGGUGUUGGUGUGACCUGUCCCACAGACCCACCAUCCUUCCC
This is a long non-coding RNA of Oncorhynchus tshawytscha (Chinook salmon), 344 nucleotides long. The record is from Ensembl. Lineage: Eukaryota; Metazoa; Chordata; Actinopteri; Salmoniformes; Salmonidae.